GAAACGACUGCUAAGACUGGAUAGGAGACAAGAAGGCAUCUUCUUGUUUUUAAAAGACCUAGCAAUAGGUAUGCUUAGGGAGGAGCUUGCGUCAUAUUAGUUAGUUGGUGGGGUAAAGGCCUACCAAGACUAUGAUGUGUAGCCGGGCUGAGAGGUUGAACGGCCACAUUGGGACUGAGACACGGCCCAAACUCCUACGGGAGGCAGCAGUAGGGAAUUUUCGGCAAUGGAGGAAACUCUGACCGAGCAACGCCGCGUGAACGAUGAAGUAUUUCGGUACGUAAAGUUCUUUUAUUAGGGAAGAAUAAAUGAUGGAAAAAUCAUUCUGACGGUACCUAAUGAAUAAGCCCCGGCUAACUAUGUGCCAGCAGCCGCGGUAAUACAUAGGGGGCAAGCGUUAUCCGGAAUUAUUGGGCGUAAAGGGUGCGUAGGCGGUUAAAUAAGUUUAUGGUCUAAGUGCAAUGCUCAACAUUGUGAUGCUAUAAAAACUGUUUAGCUAGAGUAAGAUAGAGGCAAGUGGAAUUCCAUGUGUAGUGGUAAAAUGCGUAAAUAUAUGGAGGAACACCAGUAGCGAAGGCGGCUUGCUGGGUCUUUACUGACGCUGAGGCACGAAAGCGUGGGGAGCAAACAGGAUUAGAUACCCUGGUAGUCCACGCCGUAAACGAUGAGUACUAAACGUUGGGUAAAACCAGUGUUGAAGUUAACACAUUAAGUACUCCGCCUGAGUAGUACGUACGCAAGUAUGAAACUUAAAGGAAUUGACGGGACUCCGCACAAGCGGUGGAUCAUGUUGUUUAAUUCGAAGGUACCCGAAAAACCUCACCAGGUCUUGACAUGCUUCUGCAAAGCUGUAGAAACACAGUGGAGGUUAUCAGUUGCACAGGUGGUGCAUGGUUGUCGUCAGCUCGUGUCGUGAGAUGUUGGGUUAAGUCCCGCAACGAGCGCAACCCUUAUUGUUAGUUACCAGCACGUAAUGGUGGGGACUUUAGCAAGACUGCCAGUGAUAAAUUGGAGGAAGGUGGGGAUGACGUCAAAUCAUCAUGCCCCUUAUGACCUGGGCUACAAACGUGAUACAAUGGCUGUUACAAAGGGUAGCUGAAGCGCAAGUUUUUGGCGAAUCUCAAAAAAACAGUCUCAGUUCGGAUUGAAGUCUGCAACUCGACUUCAUGAAGUUGGAAUCGCUAGUAAUCGCGAAUCAGCAUGUCGCGGUGAAUACGUUCUCGGGGUUUGUACACACCGCCCGUCA
RNAcentral lists this ribosomal RNA (1246 nucleotides) under Sandal spike phytoplasma. RNAcentral describes it as "bacterial SSU rRNA". It matches the Rfam family "Bacterial small subunit ribosomal RNA", at positions 153 to 1399 of the family's 1533-position model. Lineage: Bacteria; Bacillati; Mycoplasmatota; Mollicutes; Acholeplasmatales; Acholeplasmataceae. The record is from RNAcentral.